UGGAUGGGUUACAUGCUCCUGUAUGAGAGUAUGCUGGGAAGUGUUAUUACAGCUAGAGAUCGCUGGUUGAAGCCUGGAGGUUUAAUUCUCCCAUCACAUGCAACAUUGUACAUGGCACCUAUUUCACACCCUGACAGAUACAGUCACAGCAUUGGUUUUUGGCGCAACGUUUAUGGAAUUGAUAGUAAAUAGUAUCAACUUUGGGACAAUCAUUACGUUAAAUUUGAUUGCAAUACUAGUUAAAACUGAGUAAUUAUUUUACUGUGAUAUGAUGUUACUAAUAAGCUUGCCAUGUCCCAUAUCAUGAUAGGCGGAUCGUUUGGUCAUUUCCUAGACAUAUCCACAUCAUGAUAUGACAAAAUUAGGUUAUUGUGAUAGCAUUUAUUGCUUUGAUAGUCCUGGACCUCCUCCUGGUCCUUGGCUUAAGGGAGUAAAAAUGUGGCUGUAGCAUAUCUUGAUCAUAAGGGUUAGCUGAAAGUGAAACGUGUUCUUCUCCUCACCUUCACGUUGGAUAACUUGUAGUCGAGAAUCAGAUAAACAGUCAACUUUUAUAAAGUGAUAAAGAAGCAUCUCCCAGUAAGGUUACAGUAAUGAUGGUUGAUGUUGUCUGCAAUGAUGCAAUUGGCUAAACAGUGUGCAUUUGAAGAACCUAGCGUGGAAUCCAUAUCAGGAGAGAACGUGCUAACAUGGCCAGAAGUGGUAUUUCCUUGUUACAUGCAAUCUCUUUGAGCUCUCUAAACAAAGUUCCAAAGUUUGCAAUUUGGACAACUGGAUUAUAGAUUAGGUUUUAGAAAUAAAAUAAAAACUAUCAAAACAAAAAUACCAAUUUAACCGAACCAAAAACCAAUAUGAGAGAACCAACUCCUAAAAAAAAUCCUCGAAAACUAACGAGCGGGCUGAUUUGAUAAUGGGCCUCAAACGAAGACUUAAGAAAACCCUAACUACUCUGAGAAUAUAUAUAUAUAAUUAGACAGCCAUCGCGCUCAUCAUCAUCAUCAGUUGUUUUAUCUUUCUAUUUGUUGUUCUGUUGUUAUUGUUUCAUAUUUGUUUCCGAUGAUCUCUCUAAUUAAAAUAGAGAAGGCAGUGACGACUCGGAAAAUAUCAAGCUCAACAGACCGGAAUGAGGCGUUUCUUCCUUUACCGGAGAUUCGUUUCUGUGUCGAUAAUCCCGCUGAACUGAGCCUUCUCUCUUUGUAUUUUUUUUCACGUUUGAUCCGUUUUUUUUAAUUUAAUAUUUUCCUUUGAAUUUUGAAAUAGUUUUGGUGGUGGGGAGAUGACGAUGAGGAUAUAACGCUCCCUCUUCUGAGUUCAGCUGAAGUAAUUUGCUGGCAGAAUCGAACCUAAUAUUACUAGCCACCACUGAGUCAUCUUCUUACCCCCCACCCAUAAAUGAAUUUGCAAAGUUUUAUUUUAAAAUUCUUUGAUGUUAAAUCAGAUUAAUCGUGAAUUGAUUUAGGCGGUGGUGAUAAUGAUGAAGCAAUAAAUCUAAUCCAACACUUGAUCUGAUUAAUGCUAUGUGCAUUUGAUGUUAUACAUGUUUAGCUUCUGAAUCUUCCCUGAUAGACCCAAGUUAUUCAUUUACUGUAUCGAUGAUCAUUGUUAUACUAGUUUAUAGGACAUUGUUCUUGAGGCCAUUUAUAGCUUCUUACUAUGAGGGCAUUUAUUUAUCAUUCGUAUUUUAUUGGUAUUGGGUAAGCUAAUACAUUGGUGUCGAUAUAUUCAAAUUUGUGAAUAUAUCGACAUCACUUCUACCUGUUAACAGACUUUUCACUGUUAAGAGAGCUUCAAGAUCAUGAAAAUAUAUCUAAGAUAUUCAUAUCACUUACAUCUGGAACAUUGCUUAAUUCUUUGGCAGUCCUGUCUCUUGCUGCCAUCUAAUCUUCUGAAUUCUAUGCCAUUUUCGAUAAAACACAGCUCGACCAAGUUAAUGUUUUUUAACUUUGGAAUAAAAGUGAGUUUUUUAAUAAAAAAAAAUAUUUCCUUGGUUUCUUGUUUUUGGCUUUGUGUUUUGAGGAGGCGCUGUGUCUUUCUUGGGUUGUGUCUUGGUUCCAUCUGAUAUUUGAGCCUCAACUUUCUUGGGAGGUGGCUUCAAAUUACCAUAGUCCACUCCCAAUAUUUGGAUGCCCGUCUUCGUUAACAUCUUCAUGAACAAACCUUCUUCAAUGUUCCCACACAUAUAUACCAUCUGACUUGGUGCAUCUAUGGUAAAUGAUACACCUGACAUCGAACUCAGAAAUAAAUAAAAAACCACCAAACCAAACCUUAAAUAGAGAAAACUUGCAAACCUUGGAUGGUCUUUAAAGCUCCAAUGAUUUUCUUGUACCAACUUCCUUCUAACAUGUCAAUCUCGAAUCUAAAUCUCUGCUGCAAAAAAAAAAAAGCAGAGAAGUUAUGAGAUCAAUAUAUAUGUAUAACCAGAAAAUGAUUAUUAGGUUUCCGGAUGCCUUGUGGAUUCUCUUCAUGUCCAUAAUCAAUCCGGUAGAGCAUAGCGUAAAUUUUGGCUUUAGAUAACUUUUUAAUGAAGACCACAGGAUCAACUUGGCCACGUAAAAACAUCAACUUCUUAGUGAACAUCAUAGGAUUAGCUCCUUUGCCAUGUAUCCACCAGUCGGGUGCAUCAAUGGAGAACGCUAAACCUAGAAUUAACGACAUUACAGUUAUAGUUAAAUACUUGUUUACUUCCUCUUGAGUAAUCAAUAAUUAACAAGAAGAAGAUGGAUCAAGACUCAAAGGCUUCUUUACCUUCAAUGCCCACAAAUAUUUUAUGUAAUGUCUUUUGCCAACCUUUUGAGUUCAGUUUCCACAAGCAAAACACAUGACUAUUCAUAAAUUUACACAGGGACUGUUAGAAAAUUUUAGACAAUGCGUUGAAAAACAAGUAGAAAAGAAAAGAAAAAGAAUCAAAGAAAUUCUUACUAGUUGAGGAGCCGCCAUCUUUUUUUGGGUUCCUAGCUACAGCUGCUUUCUUUGUUUACCCUAACAUGCACAACUUUAGUAAGAUUAUAUUAUAUACUAAAUUAACUUAUUUAUAAUUAGACAAUUCCAUUACUAAACUUAUACGACCUAUGGUUUAGUUUCCUUGUUUACGUGUCCGUACAUAUUUUGACUUCCAUAAUUUACUACAAGAACUGAACUGGAAGCCAGGGGCGAAACCAGGUUGUGUACUAUGGAGGCCUGUACACCCAUAAAAAUUAUUUAUAUUUCAAAUUUUAUGUGAAAAAACACUUAAAAUCUGUUAGAUAAGGUGGAAAUGUUGUGUUGUGCACCCACUCAAACCAAGGUUCGUUUCCUUCUUCUGUCUUUUUUCUAUUUUAUCAAUAAUGGUGCACCCACUAGAUUAAUGGCCUGGAUUCGCCCCUGCUGGAAGCUGUUUGAAUUGGAAGGCAGGAAAGCCCAUGGUUGCAGCUCUUUUGGCCUAGAGGCGGUCUCGCCAAUGGGAACUCCGGAAAAUCCUCCCCCUUGCACCUACUUUCAUCCAUGUGCUCACGUGGGACUCACGAAGAGAUGAUCUAGAUUGUAUAUUUCUAUGACUCAAUAGACGUAGACCAAGACCAAGUCAUUGAAGGCUCCGUUACUCUUUCUCAAAGCAAAGAGAACCGGAGAUUCAUGAAUAUCCACCUCAAAUAUUCCUCGGCCGGUCGUUCCUUUGUGAUCGGUAAUGCGUUAAGAAGUUGAUUCUCUGACAAUAUCUCCGUACCUUUGAAGCCAUGUAAGAGUCCAGAACCAAGACUUGAAGGCAUUGACAAACAGAAGCUAUUUAAGUCUGCGAGAAACCAUAUGACCUUGUAAGAGUAUUUAGGUUGAGAUCAGAUGGACGCAGUUAUAGGUUAUUGUUCUUGAGGCCAUUUAUAGUUUCUUACUAGUACUCAGCAUAACACUCUUCCCUAUUAAUGCAUGUAUUUAUGACUCGUACUUUAUUGGUAUUGUGUAAGUGUUGCAAAGUUGCAUCUAUUUGAAGCAUGAAAUAUGUAAAUCUAAGAAUCUAUUGCUGGAUAAUUGAUACCUUUGGCAGCUGA
RNA transcript from Brassica napus (rape), 4016 nucleotides. RefSeq lists it as uncharacterized. The transcript has 5 exons. Lineage: Eukaryota; Viridiplantae; Streptophyta; Magnoliopsida; Brassicales; Brassicaceae. The record is from RefSeq and is a predicted model, not a curated record.